GACGAACGCUGGCGGCGUGCUUAACACAUGCAAGUCGAGCGGGGAUUCAAAACGGAAGUCUUCGGAUGGAAGGUUUGAAUUCUAGCGGCGGACGGGUGAGUAACGCGUGAGCAAUCUGUCCUACACAGGGGGAUAACACUUGGAAACAGGUGCUAAUACCGCAUAAGACCACGGGAUCACAUGUUCCUGAGGUAAAAGAUUUAUCGGUGUAGGGUGAGCUCGCGUCCGAUUAGCUAGUUGGUGAGGUAACGGCCCACCAAGGCGACGAUCGGUAGCCGACCUGAGAGGGUGAUCGGCCACAUUGGAACUGAGACACGGUCCAAACUCCUACGGGAGGCAGCAGUGGGGAAUAUUGGGCAAUGGGCGCAAGCCUGACCCAGCAACGCCGCGUGAGUGAAGAAGGUUUUCGGAUUGUAAAGCUCUAUCCUCGAGGACGAAGGAAGUGACGGUACUCGAGAAGGAAGCCCCGGCUAACUACGUG
Molecule: ribosomal RNA, 481 nt
Filed under: uncultured bacterium
Lineage: Bacteria
Description: bacterial SSU rRNA
Rfam family: Bacterial small subunit ribosomal RNA
Source: RNAcentral